GGCAAUAGUUGUGCUGCUUUGAGUUAAAAGACUUUUGCCAAACAGUUGCACCCUUCAUCUCAUGUUGCAUUCUUCUUUGUUUUGAAACUUUCCAUACUAGGUUUCCACAUUUUUCUUCAAACUGCAAACCUCUAAGAAAAGCCAUGACGUUUGAAAAAUGGCCACAUCCUAAAGCUGUAAAUAAAGCACCUCAUAAUUCAUUUUUACGCAAUCAAAUUGAAUUAAUUCCUCUUUAUCUUCCUUGUCAAAUAGUUUUGAGAAAAUUUCUGCUUCAGGUUCUUGUCAAAGUUGAGGGAUAAAGGCAGAAGUUUUGUUCGCUGGUUCGUAUGGGAUUGGGACAAUUGCUCAAUAACCUUGAGCACUAGAGGAGGCAAACUUUCUUAACAAAAGAUCAUGAACUCGAUCAUAUCUAAUUGCUUGUUCUUAUGAACUGUAAGUUAAUUUGUCUACUUUAUGUUUUGCGAAACACGAAAGUGCCAUAUUCUAUUUGCAAUAGAUGAUAUCGCAUGAACAACCAGCGUACAUAGUUUUCCUUCAGGUUUAACUUAAUAUUUUUGAGUUCUUAUCUUUUUGAGAAUAUUCUUU
Molecule: long non-coding RNA, 585 nt
Filed under: Olea europaea subsp. europaea
Lineage: Eukaryota; Viridiplantae; Streptophyta; Magnoliopsida; Lamiales; Oleaceae
Source: RNAcentral